Molecule: ribosomal RNA, 465 nt
Filed under: uncultured bacterium
Lineage: Bacteria
Description: bacterial SSU rRNA
Rfam family: Bacterial small subunit ribosomal RNA
Source: RNAcentral
GUACGGGAGGCAGCAGUGGGGAAUCUUGCGCAAUGGGCGAAAGCCUGACGCAGCGACGCCGCGUGAGUGAUGAAGGCCUUCGGGUUGUAAAGCUCUGUGGAGGGGGACGAAUAAGUCGUGGCUAACAUCCACGAUGAUGACGGUACCUCUUUAGCAAGCACCGGCUAACUCUGUGCCAGCAGCCGCGGUAAGACAGAGGGUGCAAACGUUGUUCGGAAUUACUGGGCGUAAAGCGCGUGUAGGCCGCUCCGCAAGUCGGAUGUGAAAGCCCUGGGCUCAACCUAGGAAGUGCAUUCGAAACUGCGGAGCUUGAGUCCUGGAGAGGAUCGCGGAAUUCUCGGUGUAGAGGUGAAAUUCGUAGAUAUCGAGAGGAACACCGGUGGCGAAGGCGGCGAUCUGGACAGUGACUGACGCUGAGACGCGAAAGCGUGGGGAGCAAACAGGAUUAGAUACCCGAGUAGUCUU